RNAcentral lists this transfer-messenger RNA (349 nucleotides) under Deltaproteobacteria bacterium. It matches the Rfam family "transfer-messenger RNA". Rfam says of the family: Bacterial tmRNA, also known as 10Sa RNA or SsrA, is named for its dual tRNA and mRNA-like properties. Its role is to liberate the mRNA from a stalled ribosome. To accomplish this part of the tmRNA is used as a reading frame that ends in a translation stop signal. Lineage: Bacteria; Pseudomonadati; Myxococcota; Myxococcia. The record is from RNAcentral. RNAcentral also lists the same sequence under 1 other name.
GGGGGCGACCUGGUUUCGACGGGGUUGAUAGAAGCACAGGCUGCAUAUCGGGCCCGCAACCCGGAACAUGCGGUUUUAAACAUAAUCGCAGACGAUUAUAACUACGCUGUAGCAGCAUAAGCUACCGUCCUGCUGUGGCAAGAUUGCGGCCGCAGUUAAAGGGCGUCGACUCAAGCGAUCUCGUCUUUUUGCAAUGCUCUUGUGCAUCAGGAUUAAAUCUAAAGGGCUGGCGGGCAAUGACUUUUGUCUGUAAAAGGCUUUGCCCGCGAGAUUAAAUCUACAGACUAAGUAUGUAGAUGCCUUUGUGGAACUUCCUCGGACGGGGGUUCGAUUCCCCCCGCCUCCACCA